AGCGAACGCUGGCGGCAUGCCUAACACAUGCAAGUCGCACGGGGGGGCUUCGGCCUCCCAGUGGCGGACGGGUGAGGAACGCGUAGGGACCUGUCGAGGGGUGGGGGAUAACCGCGGGAAACUGCGGCUAAUACCGCAUGACGCCGCGGCGUGACAGCCGGGGCCAAAGGCGAAAGCCGCCCGCCGAGGGGCCUGCGUCCGAUUAGCUGGUUGGCGGGGUAGCGGCCCACCAAGGCGUGGAUCGGUAGCUGGUCUGGGAGGGUGAUCAGCCACACCGGGACUGAGACACGGCCCGGACUCCUACGGGAGGCAGCAGUGGGGAAUAUUGGACAAUGGGCGCGAGCCUGAUCCAGCAAUGCCGCGUGGGUGAAGAAGGUCUUCGGAUUGUAAAGCCCUUUCGGCGGGGACGAUGGUGACGGUACCCGCAGAAGAAGCCCCGGCUAACUUCGUG
This 451-nucleotide ribosomal RNA is filed under the name uncultured bacterium. RNAcentral describes it as "partial 16S ribosomal RNA". It matches the Rfam family "Bacterial small subunit ribosomal RNA", at positions 28 to 507 of the family's 1533-position model. The record is from RNAcentral.